Molecule: unclassified non-coding RNA, 22 nt
Filed under: Mus musculus (house mouse)
Lineage: Eukaryota; Metazoa; Chordata; Mammalia; Rodentia; Muridae
Description: oocyte_clustered_small_RNA14346
Source: RNAcentral
AGGGCCUUUCCACUCCUGCCAG